UAGUCAUACGCUCGUCUCAAAGAUUAAGCCAUGCAUGUGUAAGUAUAAAUAAUUCUACUUUGAAACUGCGAAUGGCUCAUUAUAUCAGUUAUAGUUUAUUAGAAAUAGUGUACUACUUGGAUAACCGUAGUAAUUCUAGGGCUAAUACAUGAGUAAAUCCUCGACUUUUGAAGAGGUGUGUUUAUUAGUAUGAAAACCAUAUGCUUUUGCAUGAUAGUGAGUAAUAAUAACCUUUCAUAUCGCCUGUUUUAAAUAGCGAUAGUUCUUUCAAGUUUCUGCCCUAUCAGCUUUCGAUGGUAGUGUAUUGGACUACCAUGGCAGUAACGGGUAACGAAGAAUUUGGGUUCGAUUUCGGAGAGGGAGCCUGAGAGAUGGCUACCACAUCCAAGGAAGGCAGCAGGCGCGUAAAUUACCCAAUCCUGACAUAGGGAGGUAGUGACAAUAAAUCACAAUGCGGGACUAUUUAGUUUUGCAAUUGAAUUGAGAACAAUGUACAAGAGUUAUCGAUAAACAAUU
RNAcentral lists this ribosomal RNA (516 nucleotides) under uncultured eukaryote. Its description in RNAcentral is "SSU rRNA". It matches the Rfam family "Eukaryotic small subunit ribosomal RNA", at positions 21 to 549 of the family's 1831-position model. The record is from RNAcentral.